Molecule: long non-coding RNA, 608 nt
Filed under: Danio rerio (zebrafish)
Lineage: Eukaryota; Metazoa; Chordata; Actinopteri; Cypriniformes; Danionidae
Description: lncRNA si:ch211-222m2.1 (ENSDARG00000091887.3)
Source: RNAcentral
UUUUUUUACUUUAAAAAAAAUAUUAAAUUUCAAGUACUAAGUUUAAAAAUGUUUUCGGCUGAUAUUUUUCAUUUUAAAUUAUUUAUUAAAGUUGGAGUCAUUGUAUGUGGCGAUCUAUUUUUUACAGUCUAUGCUCGCUAUCCCAAGGUUCAUUGCGAUCCCAAGGUUCACUGCGGUUUUCCACAAGCCUGUUUCUGCCUAUCACCAUGAGUGAUUCCUCAAUACUCAGAUUUAUCAUCAAGAUCUCAAUUAUAAGCUCAAGUUUUGAUGACAACUUGGUGAUCUGCAGAAAGCCCCACCAUGUAAGGAAGGCCAAGACCACUCUGGAAUCAGUCAAGGGUGAAAUGGAGUGAGGCAUACCAGGAUAUGCCUGGUUUUACUUUUGGGAAGGAGGUUGAACAGUGCAAUAUUUCUUCUAUAGGAUUGCAGUGACCAGACAUGCUACUGUAACUCUCAUGGUCAUGUGCUGGAAUUAGCAGAUAUUCAACAAUUUGGCCAUCUCGCUGACCUGUUGAUAUCAGAAGACCGCAACAGCUCUACAAAGCAAGUUGCAAAACAGAAUCCAUGAAACUGGCAGUGACUGGAAACCAAUUGGAAGACUUUGGUCU